GGGGAACUUUGGACAAUGGGCGCAAGCCUGAUCCAGCAAUGCCGCGUGCAGGAUGAAGGCCUUCGGGUUGUAAACUGCUUUUGUACGGAACGAAGAGCCUACCUCUAAUACAGGGGGGUGAUGACGGUGCCGUACGCAUCAGCACCGGCUAACGUCGUGCCAGCAGCCGCGGUAAUACGAAGGGUGCAAGCGUUACUCGGAAUUACUGGGCGUAAAGCGUGGUAGGUGGUGGUUUAAGUCCGUUGUGAAAGCCCUGGGCUCAACCUGGGAACUGCAGUGGAUACUGGAUCACUAGAGUGUGGCAGAGGGUAGUGGAAUUCCCGGUGUAGCAGUGAAAUGCCUAGAGAUCGGGAGGAACAUCAGUGGCGAAGGCGACUGCCUGGGCCAACACUGACACUGAGGCACGAAAGCGUGGGGAGCAAACA
RNAcentral lists this ribosomal RNA (425 nucleotides) under uncultured Pseudomonadota bacterium. RNAcentral describes it as "bacterial SSU rRNA". It matches the Rfam family "Bacterial small subunit ribosomal RNA", at positions 356 to 774 of the family's 1533-position model. The record is from RNAcentral. Lineage: Bacteria; Pseudomonadati; Pseudomonadota.